RNAcentral lists this ribosomal RNA (1342 nucleotides) under uncultured bacterium. RNAcentral describes it as "16S ribosomal RNA". It matches the Rfam family "Bacterial small subunit ribosomal RNA", at positions 28 to 1378 of the family's 1533-position model. The record is from RNAcentral.
GACGAACGCUGGCGGCGUGCUUAACACAUGCAAGUCGAACGGAAAGGCCCUGCUUUUGUGGGGUGCUCGAGUGGCGAACGGGUGAGUAACACGUGAGUAGCCUGCCCUUGACUUUGGGAUAACUUCAGGAAACUGGGGCUAAUACCGGAUAGGAGCUCCUGCUGCAUGGUGGGGGUUGGAAAGUUUCGGCGGUUGGGGAUGGACUCGCGGCUUAUCAGCUUGUUGGUGGGGUAGUGGCUUACCAAGGCUUUGACGGGUAGCCGGCCUGAGAGGGUGACCGGCCACAUUGGGACUGAGAUACGGCCCAGACUCCUACGGGAGGCAGCAGUGGGGAAUAUUGCACAAUGGGCGGAAGCCUGAUGCAGCAACGCCGCGUGCGGGAUGACGGCCUUCGGGUUGUAAACCGCUUUCGCCUGUGACGAAGCGUGAGUGACGGUAAUGGGUAAAGAAGCACCGGCUAACUACGUGCCAGCAGCCGCGGUGAUACGUAGGGUGCGAGCGUUGUCCGGAUUUAUUGGGCGUAAGGGCUCGUAGGUGGUUGAUCGCGUCGGAAGUGUAAUCUUGGGGCUUAACCCUGAGCGUGCUUUCGAUACGGGUUGACUUGAGGAAGGUAGGGGAGAAUGGAAUUCCUGGUGGAGCGGUGGAAUGCGCAGAUAUCAGGAGGAACACCAGUGGCGAAGGCGGUUCUCUGGGCCUUUCCUGACGCUGAGGAGCGAAAGCGUGGGGAGCGAACAGGCUUAGAUACCCUGGUAGUCCACGCUGUAAACGGUGGGUACUAGGUGUGGGGUCCAUUCCACGGGUUCCGUGCCGUAGCUAACGCUUUAAGUACCCCGCCUGGGGAGUACGGCCGCAAGGCUAAAACUCAAAGGAAUUGACGGGGCCCCGCACAAGCGGCGGAGCAUGCGGAUUAAUUCGAUGCAACGCGUAGAACCUUACCUGGGUUUGACAUGGAUCGGGAGUGCUCAGAGAUGGGUGUGCCUCUUUUGGGGUCGGUUCACAGGUGGUGCAUGGCUGUCGUCAGCUCGUGUCGUGAGAUGUUGGGUUAAGUCCCGCAACGAGCGCAACCCUUGUUCACUGUUGCCAGCACGUUAUGGUGGGGACUCAGUGGAGACCGCCGGGGUCAACUCGGAGGAAGGUGGGGAUGACGUCAAGUCAUCAUGCCCCUUAUGUCCAGGGCUUCACGCAUGCUACAAUGGCUGGUACAGAGAGUGGCGAGCCUGUGAGGGUGAGCGAAUCUCGGAAAGCCGGUCUCAGUUCGGAUUGGGGUCUGCAACUCGACCUCAUGAAGUCGGAGUCGCUAGUAAUCGCAGAUCAGCAACGCUGCGGUGAAUACGUUCCCGGG